This 524-nucleotide ribosomal RNA is filed under the name uncultured bacterium. Its description in RNAcentral is "partial 16S ribosomal RNA". It matches the Rfam family "Bacterial small subunit ribosomal RNA", at positions 28 to 523 of the family's 1533-position model. The record is from RNAcentral.
GACGAACGCUGGCGGCGUGCCUAAUACAUGCAAGUCGAGCGCAGGAAACUGACGGAACUCUUCAGAGGGAAGGCAGCGGAAUGAGCGGCGGACGGGUGAGUAACACGUAAGGAACCUGCCUCAAGGAUUGGGAUAACUCCGAGAAAUCGGAGCUAAUACCGGAUAGUUCAUCGGACCGCAUGGUCCGUUGAUGAAAGGCGCUCCGGCGUCACCUUGAGAUGGCCUUGCGGUGCAUUAGCUAGUUGGGGGGGUAACGGCCCACCAAGGCGACGAUGCAUAGCCGACGUGAGAGGGUGAUCGGCCACACUGGGAAUGAGACAAGGCACAGACGCCUACGGGAGGCAGCAGUAGGGAAUCUUCCACAAUGGACGAAAGUCUGAUGGAGCAACGCCGCGUGAGUGAUGAAGGUUUGCGGAUCGUAAAACUCUGUUGUAAGGGAAGAACACGUACGAGAGGGAAUGCUCGUACCUUGACGGUACCUUACGAGAAAGCCACGGCUAACUACGUGCCAGCAGCCGCAGUAA